CUAAUCUGCGAUAAGCGUCGGUAAGGUGAUAUGAACCGUUAUAACCGGCGAUUUCCGAAUGGGGAAACCCAGUGUGUUUCGUCACACUAUCAUUAACUGAAUCCAUAGGUUAAUGAGGCGAACCGGGGGAACUGAAACAUCUAAGUACCCCGAGGAAAAGAAAUCAACCGAGAUUCCCCCAGUAGCGGCGAGCGAACGGGGAGCAGCCCAGAGCCUGAAUCAGUGUGUGUGUUAGUGGAAGCGUCUGGAAAGGCGCGCGAUACAGGGUGACAGCCCCGUACACAAAAAUGCACAUGCUGUGAGCUCGAUGAGUAGGGCGGGACACGUGGUAUCCUGUCUGAAUAUGGGGGGACCAUCCUCCAAGGCUAAAUACUCCUGACUGACCGAUAGUGAACCAGUACCGUGAGGGAAAGGCGAAAAGAACCCCGGCGAGGGGAGUGAAAAAGAACCUGAAACCGUGUACGUACAAGCAGUGGGAGCACGCUUAGGCGUGUGACUGCGUACCUUUUGUAUAAUGGGUCAGCGACUUAUAUUCUGUAGCAAGGUUAACCGAAUAGGGGAGCCGAAGGGAAACCGAGUCUUAACUGGGCGUUAAGUUGCAGGGUAUAGACCCGAAACCCGGUGAUCUAGCCAUGGGCAGGUUGAAGGUUGGGUAACACUAACUGGAGGACCGAACCGACUAAUGUUGAAAAAUUAGCGGAUGACUUGUGGCUGGGGGUGAAAGGCCAAUCAAACCGGGAGAUAGCUGGUUCUCCCCGAAAGCUAUUUAGGUAGCGCCUCGUGAAUUCAUCUCCGGGGGUAGAGCACUGUUUCGGCAAGGGGGUCAUCCCGACUUACCAACCCGAUGCAAACUGCGAAUACCGGAGAAUGUUAUCACGGGAGACACACGGCGGGUGCUAACGUCCGUCGUGAAGAGGGAAACAACCCAGACCGCCAGCUAAGGUCCCAAAGUCAUGGUUAAGUGGGAAACGAUGUGGGAAGGCCCAGACAGCCAGGAUGUUGGCUUAGAAGCAGCCAUCAUUUAAAGAAAGCGUAAUAGCUCACUGGUCGAGUCGGCCUGCGCGGAAGAUGUAACGGGGCUAAACCAUGCACCGAAGCUGCGGCAGCGACGCUUAUGCGUUGUUGGGUAGGGGAGCGUUCUGUAAGCCUGUGAAGGUGUACUGUGAGGUAUGCUGGAGGUAUCAGAAGUGCGAAUGCUGACAUAAGUAACGAUAAAGCGGGUGAAAAGCCCGCUCGCCGGAAGACCAAGGGUUCCUGUCCAACGUUAAUCGGGGCAGGGUGAGUCGACCCCUAAGGCGAGGCCGAAAGGCGUAGUCGAUGGGAAACAGGUUAAUAUUCCUGUACUUGGUGUUACUGCGAAGGGGGGACGGAGAAGGCUAUGUUGGCCGGGCGACGGUUGUCCCGGUUUAAGCGUGUAGGCUGGUUUUCCAGGCAAAUCCGGAAAAUCAAGGCUGAGGCGUGAUGACGAGGCACUACGGUGCUGAAGCAACAAAUGCCCUGCUUCCAGGAAAAGCCUCUAAGCAUCAGGUAACAUCAAAUCGUACCCCAAACCGACACAGGUGGUCAGGUAGAGAAUACCAAGGCGCUUGAGAGAACUCGGGUGAAGGAACUAGGCAAAAUGGUGCCGUAACUUCGGGAGAAGGCACGCUGAUAUGUAGGUGAAGUCCCUCGCGGAUGGAGCUGAAAUCAGUCGAAGAUACCAGCUGGCUGCAACUGUUUAUUAAAAACACAGCACUGUGCAAACACGAAAGUGGACGUAUACGGUGUGACGCCUGCCCGGUGCCGGAAGGUUAAUUGAUGGGGUCAGCGCAAGCGAAGCUCUUGAUCGAAGCCCCGGUAAACGGCGGCCGUAACUAUAACGGUCCUAAGGUAGCGAAAUUCCUUGUCGGGUAAGUUCCGACCUGCACGAAUGGCGUAAUGAUGGCCAGGCUGUCUCCACCCGAGACUCAGUGAAAUUGAACUCGCUGUGAAGAUGCAGUGUACCCGCGGCAAGACGGAAAGACCCCGUGAACCUUUACUAUAGCUUGACACUGAACAUUGAGCCUUGAUGUGUAGGAUAGGUGGGAGGCUUUGAAGUGUGGACGCCAGUCUGCAUGGAGCCGACCUUGAAAUACCACCCUUUAAUGUUUGAUGUUCUAACGUUGACCCGUAAUCCGGGUUGCGGACAGUGUCUGGUGGGUAGUUUGACUGGGGCGGUCUCCUCCUAAAGAGUAACGGAGGAGCACGAAGGUUGGCUAAUCCUGGUCGGACAUCAGGAGGUUAGUGCAAUGGCAUAAGCCAGCUUGACUGCGAGCGUGACGGCGCGAGCAGGUGCGAAAGCAGGUCAUAGUGAUCCGGUGGUUCUGAAUGGAAGGGCCAUCGCUCAACGGAUAAAAGGUACUCCGGGGAUAACAGGCUGAUACCGCCCAAGAGUUCAUAUCGACGGCGGUGUUUGGCACCUCGAUGUCGGCUCAUCACAUCCUGGGGCUGAAGUAGGUCCCAAGGGUAUGGCUGUUCGCCAUUUAAAGUGGUACGCGAGCUGGGUUUAGAACGUCGUGAGACAGUUCGGUCCCUAUCUGCCGUGGGCGCUGGAGAACUGAGGGGGGCUGCUCCUAGUACGAGAGGACCGGAGUGGACGCAUCACUGGUGUUCGGGUUGUCAUGCCAAUGGCACUGCCCGGUAGCUAAAUGCGGAAGAGAUAAGUGCUGAAAGCAUCUAAGCACGAAACUUGCCCCGAGAUGAGUUCUCCCUGACUCCUUGAGAGUCCUGAAGGAACGUUGAAGACGACGACGUUGAUAGGCCGGGUGUGUAAGCGCAGCGAUGCGUUGAGCUAACCGGUACUAAUGAACCGUGAGGCUUAACCU
Molecule: ribosomal RNA, 2843 nt
Filed under: Escherichia coli 2-177-06_S4_C3
Lineage: Bacteria; Pseudomonadati; Pseudomonadota; Gammaproteobacteria; Enterobacterales; Enterobacteriaceae
Description: bacterial LSU rRNA
Rfam family: Bacterial large subunit ribosomal RNA
Source: RNAcentral